Molecule: long non-coding RNA, 42188 nt
Filed under: Gossypium barbadense (sea-island cotton)
Lineage: Eukaryota; Viridiplantae; Streptophyta; Magnoliopsida; Malvales; Malvaceae
Description: long non-coding RNA (GBAR_LNC004719)
Source: RNAcentral
AGAAAAGCAAAUUAUUAUAUUGCCAUAACAAGUAAAGAUCAUUACAAUAUAUCGAUUAUAUUACUACUGCCAUAAUAAGGAAUGCAACCUCCACAACAGGUAAAGUCACAACAAAUUACCAUGCACGGCUGCUUGUGUCUCAAGUAAAGUCUUAAAACUAUUCCCGAAUCAGUGUGUGACCAAUGGAUUUAAUUAAAUAUUAAAAUCUCAGCAUCCAAUCCCAAUAUACUUUCCCUAUUAAAAUAUGCUCUAUUAGAAUGCUAUAUAGCUUUGUUGCUUAUCAUAAUUUAUACUUUUCAGGCAUAGAGAGAGAGUAUGUGUGUUGGAUUUAGUGGAACAACGGCAAUAUUCCCCACUGGUGUAGAAAUCCCUCUCCAAUUGCGACCUCCAGUAGCAGCAGCACAAGCACUGCCAGCAUGGCUGCUCUGCCAUUCCAAGUUUCAGCACUUUUCCUCCAAACCCAUUCCCAACGGUCAGCGGUGCUGGGAGCUCCCUUCGUUGCGAAUCAUAAGUUGCCAAUAACUCUUCCACACUUCCAAGUGGAACUAAUGACCGCACAGAAAACAAACACAUCUCCCACUCAACCAAAACUGUUAGAGUUAAUUGUUAAAGUCAGUUAGUAUGUAGUUGCUAAAGCAGUUAAGCUGUUAAAGAUUCUAGUACUACAGCAGUCUCUCUUUCUUCUCUAUAAAUGCAUGUACUGCCUACUCAUAAAAGAUAAGAAAAGUUUUAUGAAUACAGAAGACUUAGUUCUACAGUUUUGUCUUUAAUUCAACAUGGUAUCAGAAGUUCAGGUUAUCUUCAAACUGCAGGUCUAAGCGUCUUCGCUGCUCAUGGCCCCACCAAUCAGUCCGUCCGUGGUUCCUCCUUCUCCUCCUGCAAUGGUGUCGAAUCUUGUCGAUAGCAUAGUAGAUGGUCAAUUUUUUUCCACCAAGAAAAUGAGUAUUCUUCUUGAUGAUUCUAAUUACCUUUUAUGGCGUCAACAGUUUAUGUUAGCUGUUAAAACCUAUCAACUUCAACGUUUUCUUGAUCUGUACACGGUUCCGCCGCCUCGGAUAAUUCCUAGUGAAGAUGGUGACCUUCAAGAAAUGUUGCGUUCUCAAGGUUCGAACAACAAGACAGUGCGAUUGCUUCUUGACUCCUGUCUUCAGUCAGCCAGGCUGUGCUUCCCCAUCUAAUUGGCAUGGACACCAGUGCUCAGAUCUAGAAUGCUAUUGUCUCUCUGUAUGGUAGCAAAACUACUUUACGUCUGAUGUUCAAUCGGUGUGCUCUUCAUUCGCAACGAAAAGGCGACCUGUCAAUGAGAGAGUUUCUAAUGUGACAGUCUGGCAAGCUGUGGUGAAAUUAUCAGUGAUCACGAACAUGUUACUACAAUUCUCAAUGGCUUGCCACCUGAUUAUGAGUUCAUUAUUUCAAUCAUUGUUGCCAGUCAACUUCCCUACAGUGUCCAGGCAGUCACGACCAUGUUAAUUGAUGCUGAAGUGUGCCAACAGGUCACAGUGGUUGAGAGCCCUAGCUCGGCCAAUCUUGUCUCCCAACAUCAUCUAGAGGCUGUGUCUGACAGUUCUACAUCUGUCUAUCGCCCAUCUUCUCGUGGUCACAGUGGUCACGGUCGUAGUCGUUCCUCAGGAUUACGGGUGCAGUGUCAGUUGUAUGGCAAGACAGGGCAUCUGGUUGAUCGAUGCUAUAAUCAAUUUGAUGCAACCUACAAUAGUGCUAGGUACAGGCCUCCACCUCAGGCAAACAUGUGUCUCUACAUGCCUAAUCAGACUCCCUAGGCGCUACGCUCUCUAUCCCAAUGUCCAUGCCUUCACCCUCAGGCUGGCCAUAUUAGAUGGCACUUACUACAAACUGGUCAAAUCCUUUUUUGGGCGCACCUCUACAAUCUACUCCUCCAUCCCAACUGUGCAGCCUCAUGUUCUUCUGGCAACACCUGAGACCGUAGGCGACAAUGCCUGGUACCCCAAUUCUGGUGCCACACAUCAUUUGACUCAUUCAGUUGCCACUAUUGGAGAUGAUCCCUCAUAUGAUGGCCCAAGUAAAGUUUUUGUUGGGAACGGUAAUGCUCUUCUGGUGUUAUACUCUAGUCAAUCCUCUCUAAUUACUAAAACACGGCCAUUGCAUCUGAAGUCGUUAUUGUUUGCACCUGGCAUAACUAAAAAUUUACUUUCUAUGUCAAAAUUCACGAGGGAUAAUUAGGUCAUGUUUGAGUUUCUACCCACACAAUGCCAAGUUCAUGACUUACGAACCAAGGAGGUGCUUCUACGAGAGUCCUUACAUCGUGGUCUAUACAGGCUUCAUUUACCAGAUGCUUGCAUGAAAGACAAGGACAGUCACACAACUCAGUGUCUUACAGUCAAGCUUCAGCUCCUCUAAAUGUGUGGCACUCUAAACUAGGUCAUCCAUGUAAAAGCAUACCGCUCAAGGCGUUACUACAUUGUAAUGUGUCUGUUAAGGACAAUAAAACAGAUUUUUCUUGUGUUGCUUGUCAUCUAAGCAAAGAGUGUAAGCUGCCAUUUUCUCAGUCACUCUCUCAGUAUACUGCUCCUUUACAGCUUGUAAUAGCCGAUGUUUGGGGGCCAGCUCCCUUUCCGUCUAACGGUUUCCAGUACUAUGUGGCUUUUAUUGAUGCAUGUACUCGGUAUACGUGGCUUUAUUUUCUGAGCUAGAAAUCUAAAGUUCUUACUGUGUUUCAAUUGUUCUAUAUACAAGUCGAGAGAGCCCUUGGCAAGCAACUGUGUACUUUACAUAGAAUCACUCAGAGGUUCACCUGUCCGUACACUUCAGCACAAAAAGGCAUAGUUGAACAAAAACACCAUUAGAUUGUCGAAACCGGGUUAUCCAUGUUAGCUCAAGCCUUCAUGCUUGUCACCUAUUGGAAUGAAGCUUUUAGCCAUGCCAUUUACCUUAUCAAUAGAUUACCUUCAGCCCCACUAGGUUUUAUUUCUCCUUAUGAAAAACUUUUUCAAACUAAAACCAGCUACAUGCUCCUUAGAACCUUUGGCUGUCUCUGUUUCCAAAACCUCAGACCAUACAAUACCCAUAAACUUCAAUUUAGAUCCACACCAUGUACGUUCUUGGGCUACUCUUCAAUUCACAAAGGGUAUCGCUGUCGAGCCACUGAUGGUCGAGUGUACAUCUCCAGACAUAUUACAUUCCAUGAAGAAAUAUUUCCAUUCAAAAAUAUCAUUACCAAACUUGUUAUAGUCAAGUCUCAACCUCACACUAGUUCUAAGUUACUUGUUUUAGCCUCUCAGAAUCAGACAAAUAGUCCCAUGUCACCUAUGCCUAUCCCUACUACUCUACACACACCACCCACAACAACCCAAUCAACCUCUACUCAUUCAAGCUCCCCUAUUUCUAAUAAUCAUAUCCUUCCACCCUUACAUCCUCUUACACAAAACAUACAUGCUAUGACCACCCGAAGUAAAGCUAGAGUAUUCAAGUAUAAGGUUUAUCUGACUGGUGUUACACAUACUGUCCCAGACAAUGUCCAUGAAGCCCAGGCACAUACAGAAUGGAAAGAUGCUAUUCAUGCUGAGCUACGUGCGCUAGUGCACAACAACACCUGGACUAUUUGUCCGUUACCCUCCCAUCGACGCACCAUUGGCUGCAAAUGGCUGUUUAAAAUUAAACAAAAAGCCGAUGGCACUGUAGAGCGAUACAAAGCGCGACUGGUGGCGAAGGGCUUCUCUCAACAUGCAGGCACUGAUUUUCAAGAUACAUUUAGUACAGUGGUAAAAGCUGCCACCAUCAGGACUGUUCUUGCACUUGCUGUGACAAAGAGGUGGCCAUUGCGUCAAGUAAAUGUCAACAAUGCAUUUUUGAAUGGGGAGCUCACUGAAGAAAUCUUUAUGAAUCAGCCACCUGGGUUUGAGAUACCAGACCUCAAUGGGCAAAAAAUGGUGUGUAAGUUGAAUAAAGCACUAUAUGGACUCCGACAGGCAAGCUUGGAUUCUAGUCCUCAAAGGCUGACCAUUCGUUGUUUACCCGCAAGUCAUCAGAGUGUCACCUACUGCUAAUGGCUUAUGUUGAUGAUAUAAUGGUCACUGGCAUCUCAUGUCAAGGCAUUGAUAAUGUUGUGUAGCAGCUUCAUGCAAAAUUUACCCUCAGACAUUGGCCAAUUACAUUACUUUCUUGGCAUUGAAGUAUAAGACAGAAAUGGAAGUAGCAGCUACUACUCCUACUCUAAUGGUAGUCACGCCUAAGUUGAUGGCAGUCAGGCCCUUGCAGACAGCACCCUCUAUCGAAGUACUGUUGGUAUACUGUAGUACCUAUGUAUUACAAGACCGGAUUUAUCAUACUGUGUGAAUAAACUUAGCCAGUAUAUGAAUGCCCCAAGUGAAAGUCAUUGACGAGCAGUCAAACGUGUUCUAUGCUAUCUUAUUGGUACUAUGAAUCAUGGUUUAUGGUUCUCUCACGGUCUGUUACAACUGGUCAGCUAUUCUGAUGCCGACUGGGCCUCUUCAGUUGAUGACAGGCGGUCAACUACAGGAUAUGUCAUAUUCUUAGGGUCGAAUCCAAUAGCCUGGUGCUCAAAGAAGCAGGCAGUGGUUUCUAGGUCAUCUUCAAAAGCUGAGUAUCGCAGCCUGGAAAACUGUGUCAAAAUUGCUGGGGAUCAAGCAACUGCUAGAAGAAGUUGGUAUCACUGUGGAACAGACACCCAUAGUCUGGUGUGACAACACCUCCACUGUCUCUAUGUCAGCUAAUCCCACUCACCAUGCUAGAGUCAAACAUGUUGAAAUUGAUUAUCAUUUUAUUAGAGAAAAAGUGGUAAAUGGCACCAUACAAGUGGUCGAUGGCACCAUACAAGUUAACUUUGUCCCGUCAGCUCAUCAAAUCGCUGAUGUGCUUACUAAACCAAUUGCUCCCAAGCAGUUUGUCGUGCUUCGUAGCGCUUUACAAGUCACAACAAGAGAUGCAGCUUUCAGACUUCAACAAAUUAGAGAACCAGAAGAAUGUUAGAGUUAUUGUUAAAGUCAGUUAGUAGGUAGUUGCUAAAGUAGUUAAGCUGUUAAAGAUUCUAGUCCUACAGUAGUCUCUCUCUCUUCUCUAUAAAUGCAUGUACUGCCGGGGGUGGAAACCCUUGAUCAUCAUAAACUCCAACCUAACCUAAUUCGUAUAUGUGGAACAAUAAAUACUUUUUGCAACCAUAAAUCCUGAGAAUCCCAACCUGACUAGCUUCACUAAUUCAGCGAGACCAAGCAUGGAUCCACCAAAAGAAGGUUACUACCAAUACACAAAGUGACUCAUUCAAAACAACCUAAAAUUUAUCAUUAGUUCAACAAAUAGAUUUCUAUAGUUUUUGAAACACAGAGAGGAAGUCUGAAGGGGAGUAAAGGUUUGAACGUAAAACCAAAACCCCUCUAAAGAGGAACAACAACUACUCAAAAUCUAAAAAUAUCUAUACUCAUAUAAAGUAGAAAUGUAACGGAAACAACCUGUAGCUAACAGAGAAUCGUAAGGCAACUUUAAUUAACUUCAAAGUCAAAUAUAGUUAUAGGGUACAUUGUCUUCAGGUUGUUUUUUCUUUUUUCCGACACUAGAAAUUUCAGACUGUAGUAUUUCUCAAGUAUCUAGAAUACUAUGGAUGAUAAAUUUCAUUUAUGCUGUAAGUAUUGUCAUGAGUUGUGGCAAUCAAUUUCCAAAAGAAUAGCAGAAUUCUUUCUUCCUUUCCCAAAUAAGACUCAAUUUAAAUUGUUAAGUCCCAAAAAAAAAAAAAAAUCCUAUUAAGGCUUUCCAGACAUGUAAGCAAAAAGGAAGUGAGUUUGAAUCCCCAGAGAACACAGUUCAUCAUUAAUCCUUUAUCCUCUCAUUGCUGCAAACAAAUGCUAGUCUACCCUUUAAUCCACUCAUUAUAAGCUUUUAUGAACUCUUGUCCUCCAUCAUGUUCAAAAUUGUUGAAUGCUAUUUAACUAGCUCUUCAAAGCGCUCUUGGAAAGGGUUAGACAUCUUAGCAAGGAUAAAAUCCAACCAUUUCUGUAAAUCUAGAUUAAUUACAAAAAUAGCAAUGACUGGUAGCUGAAUACAUGGAAUAAUGUCAAUAUAAGUACAGUAGAGGGUUAUUUAUAGAGGCUUAUUUAUACUGAGCAUUAGCCCUCAUCAAAGUAAAUAAUAUUGCAACAAGUGAAAAUUACAUUUAGCCACAGCAUUAUCCCAACAGCACAGGCAUCUUCUGAAGAGAAAAUUAGAAUCUCUGUAAGCAUUUUUACAUUGGGACUUUACUACCCAUCCACAUAAUUCCAGAAUCCUGACUUCGCACAUAUCAAAAACCCAUAACUUGAAAAUUAAGAAGUGAAAUACAUGAGUCAGGAGUAAUAUGCCAACAAGAAGUACCUGAUAAGCAAGAGUGUAUGCAUUAGUGAUCUUCCUCUUCUCUAAUUCCUCUAUUAUCAAGUCCACACAUUCUUCCAUCUCUGCCUUAUAAGGAUCACCUGCCUCUUCUACAUACGCAAGUGGCACCCCAUGUGCAGUAAAAAAUAUUACCACCUGCAACAUGUACUCUCAUUUAAUAUGCAGAUUUAUUGUAAGGUGACAAAUUUUAAAUUUUGGAUAGGCAAAAGCACCUAAAUAACUAGAAAAUCAAGGAAGCACAAAUCUAAGAAAAAAUUGCAUCUUGCAAGAGGAUAACAGCCAAGGCCAUCUUCACCACACACAGCCAAAGAAACUUCCCACGUGAUCACUAAAAGUUCAAGAGCUUUAAUAGGGAAUAAUAUCAAGAGAAACGCAGUUUCUUAUUUCGUGAUACAGGAUUCUUUAAAUGUAAAUAAAUAGACAACAAAAAUGAAAGGAAGAGGUCACUAGACACCCCAAUAAAUACAUAAUGAUUUCAAACUAACUUGCAAUUAAAAUCUGGUUCUCAAAUAUUCUAAAAAAUAGGCACAAUAGAAAGGCCAAAGCUAAGAAGCCAAAAAGGCAGGAAUCAAAUGCAAAACUGCUAUCUACCCGUGCAAAUUCAUAUGACAAGAAGACAUGUUCAACUUUUAAAAGAGUUCAUGAUUUUGACUAGUCAAUCAAGACCAAAAUCAAACUUUAGCAAUCAGAAACAGGAACUUUUUCAUGUAUUAUUAUGCUGCUUACAGUCUUAAUGUACAAAUUUCUGAAGAUAUUUUAAUAACUAACAAACCGUAGCUCUGGCAGAGAUAAUGAGUGAGGGCUAUUGCUGGAGAGAUCAAGAGGGACACUAUAAUAUCGUAAUCGAAUGGUCAUCAGAGUUUCCGAUUCUCCAGGCCUUCAAGAUGAUUGAUACCUUCUACAAAUACAAAAGCCCAAGCCAUUGAAAUUUGACUUGUCCUUGGAGAUGACAUAUUUAACUCUAAAAAACUGAACAUGCGUAGCAGUAAUGGCUCCUAAGACAGACUUACCACGGUAAAGGUCAGUAGCAUAUUUCAAAAAUUUAUAAUUUAACAUGUAGCAUCAGAUUCUCAAUGAAAACCCUUUGAAAUCCCACCACUAGAAAAGACUGUUGGUAAGAAGAUUUCAGAAAUUGACCCUACAACAUCCCAAGAAUAAGAAAUCUUCUUUACCCAGAACUAUACCUUAAGAUUUCCUAUGCAUUAUUUACACAUCAAUAAGCUUGACCUCUCCAACAUUUACCUCAGAUUCCUUUUAACCACAGUAGCCGCUUUCCUGCGUUAUUGCAGACAAGCUAUUCACUAGACAUUUCGUACUGGGCUACAUAAAUUUUGGAGAUUUCAUUUUUCACCAUCAACAGACAACAUGCAAAUUUUUGACAGUAAUCCUUGUUCAUUCAGCCACAUUCAAGAUUUUAGUUAUAUAUUCCCAAACAAUUACUUUAUAACAGAUUGCUUAAGCUAAUUUCUGCUAGUAUUAACAAAAGGCAUAAAAGUGCUAAAGAAAAAAAAAACUGUUUGUAUUUAACAGCAUAACUAUUCUUUUAAUAAACACAAGAAAUUUCAAAGCUAUGAUAAACUCACUUAGGCUGAGAACAUAUACAAAAUAUAUGAUCCACUUUGUUUUCUUGAUCUGUCUUAAAAUAAAUAGAAACUAGUAACUUUAACCCCUAUCGUCCAAAGGCUUAGCCUGAGCACCUUCACUGCUGCAUGGAAGUUUUAUUUCAAGCAAGAGAAUCAAACACUCCAAAACUUAAUAUGUGUGCUUUUAGCAAUCAAUUACUAACCAAUAUUCUUGCUAUGUGGCCAUAUUAUAAAACAGAAAUAACAAAUCCAACUGCUUGAGCUAAAAUUUCCAACAUUCGUUAAAUUUCUGCAAUAGGCAAUUUUGGCAAAAUAGACUACAUUCUUAGACAAAAGAUAGAUUUAAUUGCCGGGGACUUAUUUCUCCUCCUUAUAUUGCACAAGUAAUAAACCAAGCUCUUUUUUUUUCUCCUUUUUUGGUACAAAUAAAGCUAACCAUGUAAGAUAUUUACAAACCAACAAUAACCAGGCAAUUCCCAUGAGUAAUAAUACUAAAAUCCAAUAAUGCAAAAGGUCAAUAGUUUGAAAACCAUUUUUAAAGUAAGAUUUAAACUGGCUGUGCUUAUUUGCUUACUCAAAAUAGCAUUCCUCAACUUCAAAAGGAUAAUUUUCUGAUGAUCAAGAGGAAGUCAACCACAUCCAUUAAGGAUUGUCAUGAGGUAGCUUCCAAGUUUCAAGUACUAAAUAGUGAAGCAAAACUUGACAAGAGAAUUAGAAACUCACUUAGGAACAAUGCAUCAGUUCCAUACAAAAUUUAGGUUCAACUUCAACAACCUUUCUUCUGACGUGAAAAUCAAAAAGUAAAUAGCACAACUACCUCUCGUAUUAAUUCAGAUAAUGACCAGCCAUGAAAGAAAAAAUUGCCAAAACUCAGUCAACAAGAUUACAGAAAAGGUUUUAAGGACAUACCUUUUCAGGACGGUCAAACUUUUUCAACGCUUUUUCAAUUAAAUUUGCCAUAGAUUUUAUAUAUCCUUCACGUUGAUACCAAGAAGGUAUGACUGUAUGCUGCAUGUUCACUAGAUACUCAUCAUCGCUGAUGAACCAAUUGAUUACAUGGUCAGAGGAGUCUAAGAUUAUAUUUUAAGAUUACAUCAAGCAAUGUAAGAAAAGUGUCCUUCUUCCUCACCAAAAUAUACUUUCCAAGAGUCGAAGGCUUGAACCGCUAGUUGAUUUUGAAAAUUGAGGAUAAAGUGGAAGUACAACAAGCUUUGUUGUUCCAUCCUUUUUUAUCUACAUUAUUGUUAGGAGGAAAGUAAAAAUAAUUAUGUAUCACCAGAAUCAAUGUUCAAAUAAGAAAAGGCAAAGGGAAAAAGGAUUUUCUUUUAAACCAGAUUAAUGCAUUCAGAGGCCACCAGAUAGACAGCAGAACUACCAAAAGAAACAAGCAGAUCAUUAUAAGUAAUACCUGAAUGAAACUAUAUACAUACAUAUUUUUAUGUAGAAGGAAUAUUAUCUGUUAAAAAGUGGACUCGUUUUAAGAAUAGAAGAAAACAAGCAGACACCUAACCUCAAGUCAGUUCAAUCUAAUUAUAAAGCAUUCAUAUAUUAGCAACCCAUAAAUUUAAAAAGUAAGGUUUAAAAUGUUCGCAUGGAAAUAAUAACUUACAGUUGAAACAUUACAAUACAUGAAUAAUACUUUGGUGAUUUUUCACUUCCUUCUACAUCAGGAAAAAUAGUAAAGAAAUUUCAUAUCGAAUCAAGAUUGAAAAAGUUCAUCAUGAAACUUCAAAAAUGAAAAGCAAUACCCUCAUCCAACAAGUUCAAAUGAUUUAAAAUCGAAGACUAAAGUUAACUGCUUCAGGAGACAUACAGCAACUGCAUAUACACCAUCCUUCUUCAGUCCUCAUCAAACAUGCAGGAAAACAACACAAGGAAACAUGAAUAUUGGGCCAUCCUUAAAUAUAGUUUAACUUCAAAUUCAUUACUUACACAAAUAAAUCCAAUAAUUACUUUUCACUGUUCCGUCCCAAUAUUAGCAGGUGGCAAUAGACAGAAGAACAUCAAAAGUUAGUUUUCUGACAUGUGUUAGCCAAUAUGAACUAACAUUAAUUUGGGAUACAAAACACCAUAUGGAGGAUCUAGGAAGAGCCUUCAAAUUUCCAAAGACCCAUGUGAUUGUUUAUUUGAAUAUAUAUAUACAUAUAUAUAUGAUACAUCACAUUCUGAUUGUAAAUUACCAUCAGAAUGAAGUUCUGUCAAGUACAACGUUUCAAAUAUCAUUGACAUGCCCAAAGUCAAGUGGAAAAGAAAUAGAAGUGGAUUAACAAAAUAAGAGAAGGCAGACACAUCAGAGUUUCAGCCAUCCAAAAAAGAAGACUAAAACUAACCAAAUACCUGCUCAAUUGCUUCUUCAGUGAAUGGAUGCCAGUAACGCAGACCAACGUACACUUUUGCAGGGACAUCCUUCGCCCAAAGUGACUUUUCUUCAUCCUGAAAUGAAUCAUGAGAGGCGAAACGUAUUAAAGACUGGCAGAAGAGAUACUAACAUGAAGCAGAUCAGGAUUGCUUCAGCUAUAUAUUUCCCUUUUGAUAGCCUAGGAAUCAUCCAAACCAUCAGCCAAAACAAUGGCAAUUAUAUAUCUAUUCUAUUAAGGAAGAAGUUAAAAUCCAACCAUAAACAAAUAAACUCUAGAAAUGACAAUUAAUCGAUUUCCACAAUUUGGACUUGUCAAUUUUUUCAGUUACAUAUAAAACAAUAUAUUUUAAAAAAUUAAUUGGCUGUCACAAUGAACAGAGCUAUAAAAGUCAAAACUAGAAGCAGUACCCUCUAGGUUGAAAGUUUCCAUUACCAGUUCCAAUGUUUAAUUAAUUUCAUUUUAAAAUUUCUAUAACUCUUUGAGUCAAGGUUGCAAGAUAAAGGAUACACGUCUCUGACAGAACUUAUUGAGGGGGGAAAGGGAAUACACGUCAACAAAAGUGAAACAAAAAUAGAACAAAAGAAAAUGAGCAAAAACUAAUGGAAGCCAACAAGCUUUCCCCAUGCACUCAAUUCUAGUGUCCUUCCUCACAAAUAUUAGCAAAUGCAUGAGACAUAAGAGUAUUCGUUAAACUUGCAAAUAGAAUGAUGCAAUAAUUUAAUAAUCACAUUUUUACACCCUUGUUUAAGAUUUCGCAGGUUUGCUUCGAUAUGGAAAGAAUGGCAGACUUAGAUCGAAACUUCACUGAGGAAGAAGAUGAAGUCAUUAUCGGCUUACUUGGAAACAAGUAUAUAUAGUGAACUUAAACAAUGCGAGUGUGGGUCAUCUGUUUUUUUAUUGAAACUCAAAUGUGAUGCUCUCUAAUCGCUGCAAGAUUACCGGGAAGAACCGAUAGCGAGAUCAACAACUACUGGAACACUCAAAUAAAAAGAAAGCUAUACAUCUACCAUUGCUCAAACAUAUAAAUGUUGAAUAGAAGCUAAAUGAUUGGAAUGUUUGCAAUUAUAGAAGAAAAGGCAGUCUUUUAUUCAAGUAAAGAUAAAGAUGAUUACAAUAUAUCCAUUCUUCUUCUCAGAUAAUCUCCUUCAAGAGAGAAACAAAUUGAACGACCAUGGUCACAGCCGAAGCCACAGCCAUAAUGUAAUGUAUGAACGAAACAAAAAAUCCAAACAUUUUGCUUUUGCUUUUGCUUCACUACUCAGAUCUGCCUGCUCAAAAGGGUGGACUGACUUGAUCAUUUACAAAAAAGAUGUAUUUAUAAGGAACAAAAGCAAUCAACUGACUUUUCAGCUUUCCCACUCCAACCCCAUUGUUUUGAGAAGUUCAAUCACCAAAAACCAUGUAAAUUAAUUAAUACAAUUUUUUUAAAAAAAAAAUUGAAAAGUUGAUCCAAUAAUAAAAAAUUGCUAAUUGCAUGAAUUUUUUUAUGGAAUGUUUGCAUAAAAUGCUGUCUUCAUAUGUUGAUAAAGGAGUUUGAACAAUUUUAUCAAUCUUUUUAAGAUAUAAAGUCUAAAUUUUUUGGAGUGUUUUACAAAGGUAUAAUAAAAUGUUAAAAGAAUAAAUAUUAAAGAAAAUGAGAUAUGAUAAUUUUUUUAAAAUGUUUGUGUGGUAUAAAAAAAGUACAUUAUCAGUAUAUCAAAUACUAAACUUAAAAUUAUACAUAUUUAUAAUUUGAUUCGCGCGCUUUAAAUAUACUCCAUGUUACAUUUGAACAAGUAUUCAAUACCCAAACUGUGAUUAAGCUAACAAAAGGACGUAAUUAUUAGAAUAUUAAUACUUUAAAGAUUAUAUGCUAACUAAAACUUAAAAAUAUAUGUUGCAAUUAACUCUUUUUCUAAUAACAAUAUCCUAUGAUUUUCAUUUCAAUUCCACUAUCAUCCAAGACUUUAGGUAUAUUAAAAUUGCAUUCCUAGACAGUAUCCAUAAUAAUAGUAAUAGAGCAAAAUGAAUAAUUCCAAUAGAAAAAUUAAUGAAUUAUUAAUUUCUAUAUUGCAUUAAAUAAAAUAAAUGUCAACUAAUUCACUUUGGCUCUACACCCAUCAUUUUGGGAAUUUCAAUCAUCAAUUUUUUACCAGGUUCAUCGGAUACAAUUAAAUAAAUCAGUAGCCAAUUCAUUUAAUGCAUGCAUGCUGCUCAAUCCAUUAAUUCUAUCAAUAUGAUAGUUUCAAUGGAUACCUUAAAAUAAUAAUAAUAAUAAUAAUAAUUACACAUAAAAUUUAAUAUUUGUAAUCUACAAAUUUAUCUGAUAUUCAUUGAUGUUUGAUUUAAAGAAAAUAAAAUUUAUCUGGUAUGAAUUAUAUAAUAUAUAAAAAAUUAAAAAAAUAAAUUAUAAAAAAACUCACAUUGAACAUUUUCUAUCAUUCCUAUCAGAUGCCACCAUUAAAUAGUAAAAACAAAAAGAGAAAAGGGGGCUUUUUCACCAUUUUUCUUCAUCCUUCUUGACUCCCUCACCACCACUCUCAACGUUGACCACCUCUACAAGCCCACUAUCAUUUAAUCGCCACACCAACAUCACUUACUGUCACUCAUUUGCCAAUACAUCACCACUAUAGCCACCAAAUCUCAACCCCUAAACACUCUAGACCAGUGAAACCCAACCAAAAACAAAAAUACCAAAUAGCAAGCAUCCAAAAUCAAAUCAAUAAAAAGAGAACAUGUAACUCCCCAAACUCGACCCAAUCAUUCAAAAUCAUUUGUUUAUUUAUUCAAAACUAAAUACCUUGGCUAUUCGUCAUUAUUCAGGAAAAACACAUUAACUUCAGAAUCAAAUGUCUUAAGAAAUCUCAUUUGUAAAUACUAGUAAUUUUGAAAACUAAGUCUAAGUUUCUUUAAAACUCGUUUCUCAGGAUUACAGUGGAAAAAUGUAAUAUUGACAUAUUUUUAUAAGAAUUGCAACAAAAAAUUUUACUAAAACCAUAUUUUGUUAAAAAUCAAUAUUUCAUAUAAAUUCUAUAAAACAUCAAUAGACAAUUGAAAACCUCAAAAACCAAGUCGUAUUUUCAUCUAAAACUCAUUUUCAUUGUCAAAGCGAAAAAUAGCAAUUUUAUCAAGUUUUAAUAGAUACCAAGUUACAUGCAUAUUCUUAUCAAAUACUAAUUUAUGCAAUUUUUAAAACUUAAUGUCAUGAAAUCAACUCAUGCAUAUCAAAAUGAAAAAUCCCUAAAGUAAAGUCUCAUGCCACAGUCCAUACUCAAACUUAUUACAAUCCCAAAAUAACAAAAUAUUAAGAUAAACUUUAAUUACAUUAAUUUAAAAAGAAUUCUCAGAAACUUCUGCAAAUGUCAUCAUUGAAUCCUAACCUCGAGGUUAUCUGUAAAAUUAGAAAACUAAAGAAGGUAAGCUAUAAAGCUCAGUGUGAAUCUUAACUCAAGUAUUAAGCAGGAAUUCAAUAUACAAAACAAAUAACAAUAAGCGCUUACUCAUAAUUCAAAAUAUCCAAUAUUUAUACAUAUGACCAUGGCAAUGCAGUUUUUGUAAAACAAUUAUGCAAAUCUUUUUAAAACAUCUUACCUAUCACCGUUACACUCCAAAAUUGAGUUUCCUAGAACUCGUCCAUCCAAUCACUCCAAAUUUACAGAUAAGCUGCUAAGUAGGUUGUGGAUAAACCACUAAUAUUUGCAGACAAGUUGCCAUGUAGGUUGUGGAUGAAGCCACCAAUAUUCAUAGACAAGCUGUCAUAUAGGUUGUGGAUGAAGCCACUAAUUCUUCCUUCCUUACAGUGUCGCACCUCAUAUAUGUGAUAUUGUAACACCCCCUAACCCCAAGCCGUCAUCGGAAUAAGGCUACGAGGCAUUACUGGACUUAUACACUAACAUUUAUACAAAACUGAGUCAUAAACUUUACAUUCCAGAUCAAUUCUUAUCAAAUUUCAUCUUAAAAUCCUUAAUAUAGGUCUACGGGGCCCAAUAUAUGUUUUAGAAGUGAUUCGGAACUAAACUGACAACUUUAGAAAUUUUUCCUUGAAGAUAGGGGCACAUGCCCGUGCGGCCUAAGACACGCCCGUGUAGCCUGGAACAUGCCCGUGUGGCCUGCCCAUGGGUAGAUUCUAACUUAUUCACACGGCCAUGAAACUAACCUAUAGCCAAUUCUGACUUUUCCACACGGCCUGGGCACACGCCCAUGUGACUUGGCCGUGUGAAAACAUAAUUUUUGAUCACUUUAAAGCUAUUUUCACAUACUAAACAUACCCUAUUCAUGCCCAAAACAUUUACUUAUAUAUCUUGAUUAAAUAACAUUCAUCAAACCUUUCAAACUUAGCAAAUUAUCAUUCAUUCAUUUCAUUACCUCUUAAGGAUUAUGCACCACAUUUACAUUCAGAAUAUAAAACAUUUACAAGUGACAAACACCAAACCUAGUACAUGCCACAUUUCUAAAAGAUAGAUGUAUCACCAAAAGUUGAGCUGAGGCCGAGAUUGACUCGGAUGCUUGACUGAACUUCAACUUUACCUAACCUGCGCACGGAAAACAACCGUACGCUGAGUAUUGGAAAUACUUAGUGGUAUUAUCAUAAUUCAAAUUAUAACAACAAUAAAAUAUCAUAACAUACAUAGAUAAUUAGCAAAUCAUACAUACAAAUCAUACAUAUAAACUCAUACCAAACUAUCAUAUUUCUAUUAUAUCAUUUUUAAAGGUUAGAUCCAAUAAAUCAUCAAUGGGAUUUCAAUUAACUCAUAAGCCUUUGAUUCAUCUCUCAACCACAUAUAAUUAUUCAAUUCACAUUUCAAAUAUAAAUACUUCAUAAACAUUUGGUUCAUGCCUUCAAUCUCUUUACAAAUUUCAUCUCACAUUCCAUCUUACAAUAUCACUUUCUCAUUUUAUUCGAUAGCUCAAUUAAUCAAAUUCAUUUGAUUUUAUUAUUUCACUUAUUUUCCCCUAUUAACAUGACUCGGACUUUGGCGGAUACACGGAUCCACCCAAACACGCCAGAAUGGCGACCAACGCCUUAUCGGAUAGUUCAAAGCAAAUAAGUGACAACCAACGUCUCAUCGGCUAAGCCGAAGCAAAGUGGCGACCAACGCCUCAUCGAAUCUAUCUGAAGUAAAUAUGACACACUAAGUGUCUCAUUGACUCGAGGUCGAAGAAUCCCUGAAUUCUUCCUAUCCUAUGGCAUGCCAACUAUAUCCACCCUAGCCCGACUAAUUAAUAGGGUAUCAAAAUCACAUAUUCAUAUUACUUUCACUUUCAGCUGAUCGUAAUCAUUCGAAUUCAAAUCCAUCGCAAUAACAAGUCAAUCACAAUCUCAAAUUCACCACAAAUCUUUAUACAAUUCAAUUUCACACAUGUAUACAUUCAUCAAUCAAAUACAAUACAAAUAUCACUACUUACCUCUCAUUCAAAUUCCAUACACAUAUAUUAAAAUUAAACAUUUAAUAAGAAAUAACUUGAAUUAUGAUAAUACAAACCGAUAUUUUUCUUGAGCUAUUCCUUGAUCACUUUUUCCUUUCCCUUCUCAUUCAACGACGGUUCCGGUGCUAUGUUAGCUACGAACAAUUAUACAAUUAAAAUUUAUCAAUACACUAAUUCAUAAAUCACAUUUUCACUUUCUAUCAAACUUUUACAAAAAUUCCAAUUUCGUCAUUUUUCCAUAACCAAUCUUUUUCUUUAACUUAAUCUUCAUAUUUUCAUUUAAUCAUCUCAUUAAUAAAUCCUAGCUCAUAAAAUUCAUCAUAAAACAUAACUUUUGAGCUCCUUUACUUAAACCUAACUUAAAAUUCUUUUAACAAUUCACUCAUUUUUCACUUUUAACUUAAAUUUCUAUCAAAUUAACCCAUAAAUCCUCAAAUUAUUCAUCUAAAUAAACAUCUAAAAAUUCAUUAUUUUUCUUCAUAUUAACCUCAUACAUGUAGAACUUUGAAUUAGGAUUCCAUACACAUAAAAAUCACAAGAAAAAGAACUAAAUCAACUUACCAAUCAAGCUUUAAGCCUUUAACCUUCAAUUUUCCCUUUUUCUUUUUCUUUUCUUCUUUCUUUCUCUCUUUCACGUUUCUUUCUCUGUAAUUUUCUAUUCUUUUUCUUUUGUUUCUUUAUUUUAUUAUUCUUUAUUUCAUUUUAUUUACUUAAUUAAUAUUUAAUUAUAAAAUAUCUAUAUAAUAACAAAUAAAAAUGAUACAUGUGUCUUUAUACACACAUGUACACAUGUGUUAAUCCCACACCAUACAUUUGUUAUUAUCUCCAUUAAUAGAUAAAAUAUAAAUAAACAAAUAUAUUUAACUUAAUAAACAAGUAAAUAUAUAUAUAACAUACAUUUGUACUAAUAAUUUAAAAACACAUGUAUUUAUUCUCUAUCUUACACAUGUUACUAAUUUGGUUUAAUUGUUAAUUUAGUCAUUUAUCCUUUCUCUAUAUAAAAUUAAUGUAUAUCAAUUUUUAUUUUAGAUUAGACCUACACCUGAUAGUAGAUCCAAAACAAAUCACCCCUCUAAAGAACGCUCACACUUCGAUCUAAUCGAUAGGUCACCUACUUAUCAACAAACGUGAUUUCUUAUUAGGGAGAUUACUUUUAAUGCUUUAUGAAAUAAGUAAAUUUAAUAAAAUUCCCACUAAUUGCAUGUCAUGUCAUGUGCAUACUAAUUGCCCUAGGAAGUAGACAAAUCGGUUCCUAUUUUUAUGGCUACCAAUAUCAAGCUUCUUUAGUUUCAAAUAUGAUUUGGAUUAAAGUGCAUGAUUAUUGUUUGGUUAUUGUCUACCAUAUGCAUGAUACUGUUUUGGAUUAAAGUGCAUGAUUAUUGUUUGGUUAUUGUACAUGAAAAAAAUAGAUUUUUUUUGUGUUAAAUUAUCUUGUUAUUGGUUAUUGUCUGCCAUUGCCUAGGUUGUAUUAAAGUUUUUGGUUAUUGUCUGGCAUGUGUAUGAAAAAAAUAGAUUUGUUUGUAUUAAAUUAUUUGGUUAUUGUACAUGAUAUAAAUGAAUGUGUUUGUAUUAAAUUUUUUUUAUAUUGGUUAUUGUCUGCCAUUACCUAGGUUGUAUUAAAGUGUUUGGUUAUUGUCUACCACUACCUUUAUUGAUAUUAAAUUUUUUUGGCAGGUUUAAUUGAUGACGAAUUUAAUGAGAGUGAAGAAGAAAUGUCUAAUUUUGAUGUGUAUGAUAGGAUAUGUCUAGUAGGAUUAGGGUUAAUCUAGAUGGCUUAAACAUGGAUGAUAUAAAAGUAUGGGAACUGUUUGAUAAUGAUGAUUCUGAGAGGUUAAAUAAUGCACAUGAAUCUAACUCAGAUGGCCAAAAUUGGCCUGAGUUCAACCCAGACAAUGACACGAAUAAUCUAAAACUUCAGGUUGGAAUGUUAUUUAGAUCCAAAGACAAUCUAAAAGAAGCUGCCAAGCAGUAUGGUAGGUUGAAUAAUUAUUUUAUUAAGUUCCCAAAAAAUGAUCUAAAGAGGUUAAAGGCAGUUUGUAGUUCAAAAUGUUCUUGUUACAUAUGGGCCUUUAGACUAUACCCUAAUGACCCUACUGACUAGGCUUGGCAAAUUAGGAGUUCAAACCCUAAACAUACUUGCUCUAAAGUCUAUAAAACUAAUAAUAUAACCUCAGCUUGGAUAGGUCAACAUUAUAAAGACAAGUUCAUUGUUGAUCCUAAUUAUUCUUUGACAUCACUGCAACAAUAUGUUAAAAGAGAUUUCCUUUGCCUUGUCUCACUAACCAAAUGUAGGAAGGCUAAAUUUAAGGCAUUAGAAUUUACUUGAAUGAGCUUAUAAGGUUUGAUAUAAGAAGAUUUAUGAAUAUCUGUUGGAGGUUAGGACCUAAAAUGUUGGAACAACAAUAAUCUGUUAUCUAGAUAACAGGUUGUUUCAAAAGAUAUAAGUUUGUUUACAGGCAUGCAAAUAUGGGUAUAGGGUCGGUUGUAAAAAGAUAAUAGGUUUAGAUGGUUGUUCUUGAAGGGCUACUUUAGUGGCUACCUAUUGGCAGCUGUUGGGAUAAAUUCAAAUAAUAGCAUCUAUCCUAUUGCAUAAGCUACUGUUGAAAGUGAAACCAAGUAUCAUGGCUCUAGUUCUUUGAGUUGUUUGCAUUGGACUUGGAAAUUGUGAGUUCAUAUCAGAUAUAUUUCAUGUCUGACAAGCAGAAGGUAAAACUCCAUUUGUCUGCUAUGUUUUAUGUUGUUUUUAUUUAGGAUGGUAUGUCAAAGAAUUAAUGUAACAUCCAAUAUUGAUGGGUCUUUAGUCUAGUCGAGUAACUCGAAGGAAUCUGAAUGAUGUGGACCUAUUCAUCCAAUUGAAACUUUUGGCAUAUAUGGAGGACGCAUAGCUAAUGUUAUAAUAUAAGGUAAUGAUUGCUCUCGGAAAUGUGUAAAUAUGUAUAAAAGAAUAGAUUGAUAAGUGUGUCAAGGGUUCUUAGGUAAUGAGGUUAUCGCCAAAGGUAAGGUAUACCGAGUUUGUCUAGUUAUGGUGCAAGUGACAUUCUAACGAGAUGGUCAGGAAUGAAAAUAGGGCUAAAUUAAGGAUACAUAAAGAUUUUGGAUUCUUAUGUAUGUUUCUCUACAAAUGUAAGCCACUAUUAAGGACAAUUUUGAAAGUUGGUGACAUGUGUUAAGUUCCACUAUGAGAACAUGGGUUUUACAUAUAAAUUAAUGUGAGCUUUAUAAGAAAUGAGGAGUUAUCUUCUUCCUUCUAGUUCAAUCACAAUUGUUAACUUAUUUCGAAGUUGAUCAAUGAUCUUUCUUGCUAAGCUAAAACUAAAUAUCGAAGUUCGUGCAGAAGGUUGUUCAUAUUCUGGGUAAGUAUUAUGGACUUGCAUGUUGACUUUUGAAAGAGUAAGCCUAUCUUAUGUGUGUAAAUAGUAAGAUGAGGAAGUGAGGCAUUGCAUAGAGGUUAUCUAGGUUUCAAAUGACGAUAAAAGUUAUACAAAUGAGUUUUAAUGGUACCCCAAUGUCUUAUAGCAAUGAAUUACUGAUAUUUCGUGAUAAGUGUUUGGAUUUGGAGAUUAAGCUGUUGUUCAUGGGUGUAACGUGAGUUCCUAAGAUGACUCAUAUGUACGUAAAUUGGUUUAGUCUAGAUACUUCAGUGAAGAAUCGUAUGAACUAUGAAUUGAGAUUAGAAAAUGAUGGUACGAUGAGUAUGUUGAUAUAUGAAUGUUAAAUAAGAUUUACAUGUAUAUUUUGUAUGAUUCUGAAAAGUAUAGAGUAUGUGAUAUGAGAUCUAGAGCAAAAAAUAUAACUGUAAGAGUAUGUCUGAUAUGUAUGUUAAGCUUAGUGCUAAUGCAUGAAAGGUCUAUUACGUGAUUUUGUGUCUAUUCACAGCGGUGGAGUCUAAAAGGGGUCCAUCGCGACUUUAAACACGAUAUCUGAAAGGAAAAGCCUAUGGCUAUGGCACCAUAUUGUGUAAUACCAUAGUUGGGCUAUGGCGUUAUGUGGAAAAGAACUAAAAGAAUGUGAUUACAUAAAGGGGUUAUCUACGUGACCCAGGACGAUGAGAGGAAAACAUCACGAAAAGGAAGCUUUUGUGGCUAUCUAUGAAAAGGAAGCCUUUAUGGUCAUAUUUGAAAAGGAAGCCUUCGUGGCGAUCUAUGAAAACAAUGCCCUUAUAGCGCACUCUGAAGAAUUGUAUUCAUGGUGAACUCUGAAGGAAAUGCCUUUAUGGUGGACCCUAAGGGAAAGAAAUUGCAUUCAUGGUGAACUUUGAAGGAAUGAUAGUUGUAAUAAACUCAAAAGGAAAAGUUAAUAUGGCGUAUCAUGUUAUACAUUCGAUGAGAUAUUCUAAUGAACUUCUUUUGUGGCGAGCUUCGUAUGAACUGUUAUGGCAUAUCCUACAUGUCUAAAGAUAAGAGCAAAGAAACUGUAAUGUGCUAGAGCAUGUGGCAAAUUCAGAGUAUGGGUUAAUUAGAAUUGAAGACCAAAUCUGAGUUCGGGUUAUGUCUAAUAAAUUGAAGAAGGUUAUCUAUCUAUAAUUAUUAGAAGAAAAAUGGUAUCCUCCACAAAGGAUCAAAUCAUAUAAUUAAAGAAUGUAUAUUCUAAGUACAAAACCAUUCAUGGAUUGCGAAGAAACGAAGACUUAGAGUAUGUAUGUAAAAAUAACAAUAUGUUGUCCUUGUAAGCCUCUGGAAUGGGUAAGGUUAAGAAAUCAAAAAAGCACAAGUGAAGAACAUAAGUAAUGUAUCAAAUAUGCAGAAAGUAAUGCAUGAUCUCAAAGUCAAGGGUGACAACUAAGAUACGAGGAAUGACAUUCUGGAAAGGUAUUCGCUAGAUACAAGUUGAAGAACAAAGAACAAUAAGAUGAUGAAUUGAAUUGCCAAAUGCGAAAUACAAAAAUGAUUCAGUAAAUGGGUGUUUACCUCACUAAGUUCUCAUGAACUUACCUCUAUGCCUUAUGUUGCAAGUUAGUUGAUUUAAUUCUACACUAGGAGGGACGACGCCAGGGCUACGCCAAAAAACUAGCAAGGCAGGUUAUUAUGCUUACAGAAUGAGUUGGUAGCAUAAAUGUAGUCUGUAACAUUAUUUAAGAUUUACACUUUGAGAUAAUGUAAUUAAGUUAUGAGCCUUGUCUAAAAGUCCUUGAAGUAGAAAUUGUUGUACAAUAAUAAUUUUCCAAUGUAUAUUCAACUGAACUUUUGGUUGAGAGAUUAUUUUAAUUAAGUUGUAUUAGUUAUGAAAAUCGGGUAUGAGUAUAUAAGCAAAAGUUUGUAUUUGUGUUGUAACACCCAAGACCAGAAUCCAGUGAAUCAGAUCGGGUUGAGGGCGUUAUAAUAAAUUAUUUUUGUUCUAUUUGCAGGGACUUGUAGAAGCAAUAUCCAUGUUGUUUCUUAAUGCAGAAACAAGACAUUGUGUUAAACACCUACAUGUCGAUUUCAAGAAAGCUGGUUUUUGAACAAAGAAACUGAAAGAUUUGCUUUGGAAAGUUGCCAGAGCAAGCACUCCAAGGGAUUUUGAGGAUGUAAUGUUUGAACUAAAGAAUACCAAUCAACAUGCUUAUGAUUGGUUGAAGGAAAAGAACUCUACUCACUAGUCAAAGUCCCACUUGUCAAUUAGGGGUCAUUCUGACAUGUUGGUGAAUAAUAUUUCUGAAUACUUUAACAAGGUAAACCCCUAUUUAUUUUCUACAUGCAAUUCAUUAAGGACCUUGUCUCACUAAUCAUUUAUGUUACUUGCUAGUAGGUGAUAUUAGAAGCAAGAGGGAAGUCCAUUCUGACCAUAAUGUAAACAAUUAAAACCAAAAUUAUAUUGUUGAUUGUCAAGAAGAAAAAAGAAGUUGGAAAAAUUAAAGGAAUCUUACCUCCAAAGAUCAAGAAAAAGCUGGAUGUCAAUAUGAAAAAUUCAUUGAGGUAAAUAGAUGCUUUUUUAAUAUAUUUAUGCCUUUAUUCUACCAUCACAUGUUGGUAAAGCUAGCCACAUGUUGUUUUUAAUAUAUGUGUGCCUUUGUUCUGCCAUCAGUUUACUUGAGUAUAAUAUGAUAUGUUUUAGUGAUUGUUUUUAGGUGUGUUCCAUCGCAUGCUGGUGAGGGAUAGAUAUCAAGUUGAAUGUGGUCCAAGUAAUCAGCAUAUGGUGGACCUAGUUGAGAAUUCCUACUAUUGCAGGAAUUGGGAUCUCACUAGCAUCCCUUGCAUGCAUGCAGUGGUUGUUAUUCAUAAAAAAGAUGAAUACCCUGAAACUUAUGUAAAAACCUAGUACACCAAGCAAACACAGCUUGCCAUUUACUCCAACUUCAUAAGGCCAGUAAGAGGUUUUAAGCAAAUGGAGUCUGUACCAGACAUGCUGCUAAUAUUGCCUCCUACAUUAAGAAAGCCACCUAGUAAACCUACUAUGGUGAAAAGGAAAGAAUCUGAUGAACCACAGACAACAUAAAGGAUGAACAAGAGAGAGGUGGAAAUGAGGUGCAGUAAAUGCAAAAAAUUAUUCCACAAUAAAAGGAGUUGCAAAUGGGAAGUCGGUCAAAACAUUUUAGUAAGUAAUCUACCUUGGCUUCAUUAAAUUACUUAUAUAUGCGAUGCAUUUGAUGGAUUUCACUUGUACGUGUAGGUCAAAAGACACAAAGUUGGUCUUCAUAAUCAAGUGGUUGCCCCAAUUCAGCAAGAAGCUACCCCAACUCAGCAACAAGCUACUCCAACUCAGCAAAAAGCUACCCCAACUCAUCAACAAACUACCUCAACUUACCAACAAGUUGCUGCCCCAAGAGAAAAGCUUUUACUCAAGAGGAAACCAACCACUGUUAGAUGGAUUUCUUCUACUCAAGAGUUAUUUGUGCCAAACCUAUCGAUGACAUUGUGAACCGAGCGUUUAUUUUGUUAACUUUUUUGAGCUUGUGUAAAUUUGCCUAUUGCUGCUACUAGUUUCUUAAUUUAGGCAAAUUAUUUUUUGUAAAUUUGCCUAUGAUUGCUACUAUUAUCUAAACUUAGGCAUAUAGUUACUAAAUUUUUUUUUAAAAUUUACCUACAAUUCAAAUGUGUUCAAUUGUACUGAAUUGUUAGCCCUUCUUUUUGUAAACAGUUUGGCUUAAUUUAUGAAUGAAAAUUUAAAGGUGACUAAUGUUUUAUGUUUUUUUCAUUUGUUUUGUCUCUUCUACCCUUCUGAGCAUUGAUCCAUGUAAUGUAAGAAAAUGAAAAACAAUAACCAAAUACUUUUUCAAGUCUUAAAAGAAGAUUAAACAUUCCACAUUGUAUUCAGAAAAUCAAAUGAAGUGAAAUACAAAUGUAUGAGAUUGGCAUUAGUCUUUCAACUUUCAAGUUUCAACUAAAACAUACAAGCAAACUAAUACCUUUUACAGACCAUGACAUUUAGGUCUGAAAGCCUCCAGUCACUAUGAAAGAAUACUCUUCCAAUACCAGCAGCCAUAUAAGCUAGUUUUCCAUUUCAACAACGACAACACCAGCUAUCACAUAAGCUAGUUUUUCAUUUAAACAACAACAGCAACAAUAUUACAAAUAACAGCACCAAACACCAUGUUUUUCUCGCCCUCUUCAUUGCAUGCUUCAAUGUCCUCACUUUUUUCAGAAGACCCAACAACACAAUUCCUAAACGAAGUGUCAAUCGUGGAUCAAAUCAGGUGAAAAAAUGACAUGGAUUUCAAAACCCACUCCCAUUCUUCUUACACUCCAAAAACCUCCUACCUGGGUUGUCAUUAGACCAAGACGUCUUUAAAUUGGCUGGGUUUCCACAAUAGCACACCAGUAACACAGUCUGUAUCUCCAUUUCUUCUCUUCUUCUUUUUUCUUCUUCUCCUCCUCCUCCUCCUCUUCUUUUUCUACUAUCUAAACCCUAAACUCUUAAAUGGGGCUAUUUAAACUGGUGUUAGUUGUCCAGCUAACCGAUUAAUGACAACAAAGACUCCGUUAAGUGCCAUGUCACUUUUCUGUUACAUCUGUAAUGGAAAAUGAUUAAAAGGGUUGAUUUAUUAUUUUUAGAAAGUUGAGUAACUAAAUUGAAAUAAAAGUGACUAUCUUGUCAGCUACAUUAAAGUUGAGUGCCUGUUGGUGUAAUUUACCCAAAUUUUAAUUAAAUCCUACUUUUUAAAAUUUUCAUUAAAUCCAAAAAUUUUGAAAUUUUAAUUAGUACCCAUAAAGCUUAAUACUAAGAUGAACCACUAAUGAUUAAUCAUCAAAAAAAUUUCCAUUAUGGGUUCCUCAUUAAUGCUUAGCCUCCACAAGAAAACCUAAUUGCUUCCUCAUCAAGACCCUUGUGGUACGUGGUCUUCAUGGAUAAUUGCAUGAUUUUUUGUUCUUCCCAUAAAAAAUGUAAGCUUGCAAGCAUAAAAUUUUGAUGGAAUGUUUGAAUAAAAAACUCUCUUCAUAUGUUGAUUGAGGAAUUUGAAGAGUUUUUAUUAUGUUAGCUUCAAUUUAAUAUGACAUUUAAAUUGUUCAUACAAUAAACACAUGUAUAUUUUUAAUUUGAUUAACGUGUUUUAAUUGUAUUUCGUAUUAUAUUUGAACAAGUAUUUAAUAUCUAAAUUAAUGAUUAGGUGGCUGUAAGACCUAAUUGACAGAAUACUCUUACUUUAAAGAUUUAAUUAAAACAUUUUGAAAUUUCAGGCCAAUUUAGAACUUUGAAUGGAUCGUAAAUUGGCUCAAGCAAAUGUGUUCGAUGUUUGUUUGUUCUAUCUUUUUUUACUGGUCAAAAUAUUUCUUUUAAUUUCUUUAACUGCAGUUUUGACAUUAUUAAUUCAUAUUUAUUUUCGAAUGAUGAAUUAAAAGCUUUUAGGGAAAAAAAUUGGGAUAGCAUAGAUAUUAAAUAAAAUUUAAAUGAUUCAGAUAAUAAUAAUAAUAAUAUUGUAGUAGCCAAUUUUGGCCUAAAAGAACCCAAACCAAAUAAACAAAAAAACAGUCCAAUACAUGGCCCAAAAUUAAGACAAAACCUACCCAAACCCAAUUUACAUCAAACCCUAGCCCAAAUAAUAGCCCACUUGCUUAAGAUUUUCAGCAGCAAACCCUUCCCCAAUAUGCAGCCGCCGCAUGCUUUCAGCCACUGCCGCUCGGGGCACCAACCAUCGACCUUCCAUGCGUCAUGUCACCUGCAAAGAGAGACCCAUACGCAAAGUAAUAGGAAACAACAAAGAAAACGACAAGAAAUGGCAAAAAACAAAACAAAUAUGGACAAAAAUGAUCUUAUAUUCGGUUAUAAAGCUUCGAACUUUAACAUUAUAUUGUUUUUUACGCGCAUUAAGCAAUAAAAACAGCGAAAGAACCAAAAAGGUUGAUUUUUUUAUCUCCAUUUUCAUUUUAAAUUCUGAGUUCAUUUACCCUGUUUUCUUUUUUUUAAUUAUUUUAUACGAAAAUAAACAAAAGUAAAAAAGGAGGAAAGGGAACUUACCGAUCUACUCCGUGGUUGCGCCAUCAGGACCUCCUCCUCUGUCGCCGGAUUCGAGCCCAAAAGGAGAAGAGGGGUCUUCUCUUCUCGAUCCUUUCGGGGCUAAAAAGAGGGGGCCUUCGUGCGCGUUUAAAUAGGGGCUAAAGAGCCCAUUGUCGCACCUCCGACCACCGCUUAUGGCGGCCGGUACGGAGGUGAAUCGCUACCUCGGUGACCGGAGGAAAAUGAGAAGGGAGAGAGAGCUGGAAGGCUCUCUGCCUUUUUUUUUUAAAGAAAAUAAAGUUAAAAAAAUAAAUAAAUAAUUUUGGCUUUAAUAGCCAUGCAAAACACUACCGUUUUGCACACACACACAUUACCCCCCCCCCACGCCCCAAAACGGCGCUGUUUGGGGGGGGAACCCGUGUGUUUUGGACUUAUGGGCUAUUUGCGUGAUCGGUCCCUCCAAGUUUCAGCGCGAUUUAAAUGCGCCCGUCGCUUCAUUUUUUUACCCAAAUUUUCCUUUUAAUUUUAUUCAGAUUUUGAUGUAGUCCUUUUUAAAUACUUCUAUCUAUUUUUUAUUCGAAUUUGGAACUUAAAUUUUCAUUUUUAUUUGUAAUUUUCCUCUUUUUUCCUAUAAAUCUGGACUUUUUAUUUAUUUAUUCAUCUUAAACUGUUUUUAUUUAUCUUAAAUUUCAUAUAUUAUAUUGUUUUAAAUUGCUUUAGAUAUAUUAUUUCAUGCACUAUACACUUUAAAUUGUUUUAUCAAUUGUUUAUUUUAAAUCUGUUAUAUGUAUUAUCCAUUCUAAAUUGUUUUAUUAUGUAUUUUAAAUUUUUUUUUGUAUAUUAUUACUUCCAAAUUCUUAUAUGUGUUAUAUGUUUUAAUAUAUACCCUUUCUAAAUGUUUUAUAUAUUACUUAUUUUAGAUUUAUUACUACAUAAUAUUCAUUUUAAACUUAUUUCUAUUAUUUAUCUUAAAUUAUCUUACAUAUCAUUUAUUUUAAACUUUUUACACAGGUCAUUUUGAAUUAUUAUAUACAUGUUCAUCACUUCACAUUGCUUUUUAUUAGUUUAUUUUAAAAUCCUUUUUUAUAUAUUAUUUUUGAAUUACUUAUUAUUUUAAGUUUAUACAAUGUUUAUUCUUAAACUUCUUUUUGUAUGGAUCAUUUAUUUUCAAAUUAUCAUAUGUUUUUAUCUUAAACUCUUUAUACGUUAUUUUAUAUAUAUAUAUAGGUUAAGUUGUUUUUUUUUAAUAUACUAUGCAUAUUAUUUGUUUUAAAUUUAUUUUUAUGUAUUAUUUAUUUUAGACUUUUCAUUAAUGAUUUUAAAUUAUUUUUUAUCAUUUACUUUAAGUUACUUUUCUAGUAUUUAUUUUAAACUCUUUACAUAUAUAUUUUAUAUUUAAGAUUAUUUUAUUAUUUGAUUUAAUUUGUUUUAUACUAUUACUUCAUUUCUAUAUUUAUUAAGCUUAAUGUUAAAUAAUGUAUGUUGUGAAAUUAUUGCUAUUGCAUGUAUGUUAAUUUGCCUACUCGUAUUCAUAUUAUUGCCAUGAGCUUGUAGAAUAUUUUAUGCAUGAAUCAUUGUUCCUUGUCGCACUAUACUUCAUUUCAUAUCAUUGCCUCAAAUUAGACCCCAAUACAUUUAUCCAACAAAUCGCUUUAUUCUAACCUAAAUAACUAAUACACGUCGUUUAAAUAUUGUAUUCGCUACUAUUCAAAAACAAAAUUUUCCAAAUAAGGCAAUGUUUUGCAUUUUGGAACAUCGAGGAAUUGUGCCCUAACUUACGAGGUUUCGAUUUUCUCGUUGUUUCUAAAUAGUCAAAUAUCCUUUUCAAGUUUUAAAACAAAUGAAAUUAUUAUUCAAAUUAAAAGACGACCUUGCGCUCGGGAAUUCAUGGUAUUGUGUCCUAACUUACGGGAUGUGAUACUCCGAUAUCUCGGGAUAAGAAAAUCUUUAAACAAUCGUUUUGAGCUAAUUCAAGAAUUUUAAAAUUGAUGUUAAUAAAAAAGGAUCGUAUUUCAAAUCCAUUCCCGAUUUUUAAUUUUUGACAUUAAGACACUAACUAAUCAAUUCGGUACCAAUUUUUGGGCGUGUCGAGGGUGCUAAUCCUUCCUCACACGUAACCGACUCCCGAACUUGUUCUCUUGAAUUUCGUGGACCAAAAUGACGUUUUAGUAAACUAAAAUUAUUUUAUUAAAACAAAGGUGAUCCGAUCACACCAAAUAAAGAUCGGUGGCGACUUUUGUUUUGAUUUUCGCCUUUAAACAAAGUCGAUUCCUGUUUUCAAAAAAUGGUUUCGACAGCUUGGCAACUCCACUAGGGACUUUGAGAGUCAAGCCUUAAAUUUAUUAAUUUUUGUCUUUCGUCAAAAAUUGAAAAUCAGUUUUAGAUUUACUACAUUACAUGUUGUCUGUUAUUUUCAUGAUUUUCUUCAUAAUAUGAUUGCUUUAAGUGGUUUAAUUCUUUGAUGUAUCUUUGCAUAUCGCAUCGCAUUAUUGGUCAAUUUUACCCUCUUAAGUUGAAGUGAGAAACUACUCCUUUGUGAGGUCUUCACCUCCAUAUAGGAUCGUGGAUCGCUUUCGGGAUACAUCCGUACCUGCGUAUUCUUGAGGUUUUCAUCUCCGUAUAGCCGUAGGGAAAUGUAUUCCCCUGAAUCGAACUCGGUCCGUAUGAGCCUAUAAUGGGCGAGGAUCGAGGAAUCUGCUGGUUCAGGUACCUUUACUUUAGAAUCAAACUACAUGUAAUGAGCCCUAAGAGCCUACCCUAGGUAGAACUACACCGAACCCUAGUGGUUACCCGAUUAGGUGCUUAAUUAUUCCUUAUUUGUUUUGAAUUCUAUUCUUUGUAUAUAAUACUGACUUGUUGUGUUUUGUUGUUUUCGUAUGGCAUCUCAUCAUAAAAGGGUGUUGAUUCACGUUCGGUUACUAGAUAGGAGAGUUUAGCAUAGAAAAAUGAUUUCUUGAUAGAGUGGAGGAUAAUGCGGCCGUCCGAGUGUGGUCCGAGAAAACGCAAAAAGAGAAAGAAGAUAGUUUAACUGAGGGAUAUGAAUCGGAGUUGUGGGUUUCACUCGCAUCAGUGUGACUCAGAACGACCUGCAAGAAUUAAGGGAUAUAUGGAAUAGUUGGAAUAGUGAGGUCAAGCAACUCUUUUACUGUAACUAUGGGGACCUACCCUAUUUGCUCGAUGUAAAGGUGGACAAGUACUUGUUUCGGGCUCUCGCAUAGUUUUGGAACCCCACUUACAGUUACUUCACCUUCGGAGGAGUCGAUUUAGUACCUAUUGUGGAGGAAUACAUGGAGUUACUUAUUUUCCUGAAGAUUCAGGCCGAUAGGGCCUAUUCAAGACCUGUCAAUGUCCCUCCCUUUUUGAAGAAAUUGAUAAAUAUCACGGGGAUGAGCGAGCAAUGGGUUGUAGCCCGCAUCAAGCAAAAAGGGGAUAAUAAGUGUAUUCCUUGGAGGAAUUUGAAAGAUUUGAUCCUUGCACACCCGGAUUCGAAGAAAAGGGUUAACAUUUUUGCCUUAAGCCUCUACGAUUUGAUCAUCUUUCCUAAGGCACUCGGACACAUAGAUGAAGCCGUUUCAGAUUUAUUCGAUCGACUUGAUAAAGGUACCACACCCGUCCCGGCAAUCCUCGCAGAAACUUUCAGAUCCUUGAAUGCAUGUCGGAAAGCGGGCGAGGGAAGAUUUAUUGGUUGUGCACAGCUUCUUCUAGCUUGGUUCCAUAGCCAUUUUUGGAAGGUGGAAAAGGUUUCCUAUCGGGUCUUCUCUAAGGAUUAUUCCCCAUUAAGAGAAUUAGUGGCUACAUCGAGGCGAGACGACAUCUCUGAAGAGAAAUGGAUAACUAUUCUCUAAAAUUUGCGGACCGAAGACGUUGAAUGGAGGGCUCCAUGGUUGAUCCCUGACGAGAUCUUAUAUAGGUGCGGUGAUUUUGACUGGGUCCCUCUGGCGGGAAUAUGGGGAGCCGUUGGAUACUCUCCACUGAUGGUGUUAAGGUAAUAUCGAUUAAGGUAAUUUAUACCGGUGACACAAGGGUUGGCACAAUGUGAGUUCCUCUAUAAAGACAAUAAUUAUAAGAGGAGGGUUCGCAAGAUAUCAUAUGCUUGGAACCAAACUCAGAGAAUGAAAGGAUUCACCACAGGCCCGAUGACGACCCCCGAGUAUGAAUGGUGGUGGGGUAGAAGAGUCAACGACAACAUCCCAAGACCAAAUUAAGAGAACACUCAACCGAUAGAGGAGCAUUUACCGGUUAUCUCAUCCGAGUUAAAGGUCAUUAAACAAGACUUUGAGAAAAGGAACUUAGAGUUGGGGAAGAAGAUAGAGCAGCAAGAAGAAGAGAAAAUGAAGUUGGGAUUAAACGUCGAUAUCCACAACCUAGAGGCCGAGAAAUUGAGGAAGGGAAAGAACAAGGCUGAGGAAGAUUUGGAUAGUCUGAAAACCGAUUACAAUAAGCUGCGUAUGUCGAUAAGAACUGCCGGUUUAGGUAAAACGUCGGAGCAAUGGUGUCAAGAGAUCAAAGAGGAAAAGACUAGAGCCGACCAUUGGGAGAAAAAGUUUCAAGAUACCCGAGUAUGAGAGGACACUCUGAAGAAGAGUUUGUUAGAAACCCAAAACGAAAAGGAAAAGUUACAAGCUCGGGUGGCUGAAUUGGAAAGAUCACUUCAUCAACAUUGUAGUCGUAAUUCGAUAAUUGAGCUGAAGGCUAGUUUGAGCAGGAUCGAAGAGUUGAAAAGGGAAGUAGAAGAACUCAAGACUACACUACGAGAUAGCAAAAUUCGAGUGGAACUUCUUGAGGCAAACAACAACCAUUACAGGGAACAGCUUCACCACUCUCAGAACUAGAUUAGAGAUAGAGACAAUGUCAUGGGCGAAGCUGUAGCUCAGGUUCGGGAGGUAGCCGAUUACUUGCAAACCUUGGCAGUUCAGGCUGAUGUAUUGAGCUUAAAGUACUAGUUGGAAUCUGAGCGAGGCUGAAACUUAGCUUGGCUUCUUAGGAAUGUUAAGGUUUUAGGCAUUAGGGCAAAGUCGUAUAUGUAAUCAUCCAUUCUAUGUAAAGAAAUUUUUCUUCUAGUGAAGUUCUUCUAAUGAAAUUGAAUUAGAGUCAACGCCUCUUUUUGCAUUCAUUCAUUUGCAUUACAUUUCAUCAUAUGCAUUAAAUUUCACGAAAAGACCCUGAUUAAGCAAAAUUAUUUCAGUUAAUCUGGAAACCAACAAGAAUCAACCAACCGAACACAGCUACUAUACCCGUCAUAAAACCAAAACAAUGGAUCAAAGAUUGGAAAGGAUAGAACACAUGCAAAGGGAAAUGCAAGAGCAGUUACAAGCACAGAUGCAAGAGCAACUGGCUAAAAUACAACACGAUAUGAAGGAAAAAAUGGAAGAAUCCCAAAAUAAUCUGAUAGGCCAGUUGGCGCAGUUGCUGGCUAGAGAACGCGAAAAGGGGAAGAGCACUAUGGGGAACGAUAAUGAAGACCCUAUCUAUCCUCCAGGAUUUGCUCCGGUAAACACUCAACCACAACCGGAGGUACACCCACAAACGGUACCCCUCACUAUCAGGCCCCAACAAUACCAGACCAAUGCCUCAACACCAAUGAAUAUUCUUAUAGGUUUCGGCUCUAAUCCCGGGGAUAAUCCAGCUAAUCCAUUUGUCUCGGACCUCGAUGACAUGGCAGAAAUGGAGAAAAAGAAAAGUAAACCUGGCGAAAGAACUCGAUGAUCGGUGUAAAUGGCUUGAAGAAAAGUUCAAAGCGAUGGAGACUGUUGAUUACCAUGGCGGGAUCGAUGCUAAGGACUUAAGCUUGGUCCCAAAUCUGGUGCUCCCACCAAAAUUUAAAACCCCGGAGUUUGAAAAGUAUAAUAGGACGAGCUGCCCCGAAAGUCAUGUUACGAUGUUUUGUCGAAAGAUGACAGGGUAUGUUAACAAUGAUCAGCUGUUGAUCCACUAUUUCUAAGACAGUCUAAUCGGAUCUGCGGCCAAGUGGUAUAACCAGCUCAGCCAUGCCCAAAUUGGUUCAUGGAAGGACUUGGCUCAAACUUUCAUGAAACAAUACGGUCACGUAACAGACAUAGCACCUGACAGAAUUACUCUACAAAACAUGGAAAAGAAGCCAAUUGAGAGCUUCAGACAGUAUGCCCAACGAUGGAGGGAGAUGGCAAUGCAGGUCCAACCACCCCUCCUAGGGAAGGAAACGACCAUGCUCUUUACCAACACUCUAAAGGCCCCAUUUAUUAACCACAUGUUAGGGAGCGCUGCUAAAAGCUUCUCAGACAUAGUAAUGUCCGGGGAGAUGAUAGAAAACGCGGUAAGAUGUGGGAAAAUUGAAGCGGGGAAAAGUGCCAAAAGAUCAGCUCCAAGAAGGAAAGAAAACGAGAUGAACAAUGCGAGUUUAUACAAUAAGGGUUAUUCCAAGCCAGUCACAGUGAGCCAGCUGAGGGCAGUGACUGCUAGCCAUCAGGGCUCCACAAGACAAGAUUCCAACCCAAGACCUAACACGGAAAGAGUCCAGUUCACGCCAAUCAUAAUGAUGUAUAGGGAGCUUUACCAGAAUCUAUUCGAUGCGCAUGUGGUGUCUCUAUUUUACCUGAAACCCAUACAACCUCCAUUCCCUAAGUGGUAUGACGCAAACGCUCAAUGCGAAUACCAUACAGGAAUUGCGAGGCACACAAUUGUAAACUGCACGGCCUUCAAAAAAUUAGUCGAAAGGUUCAUAAAGAUGGGCAUUGUAAAGUUUGAUGUUCCCAUAGGACCUAAUGUGGUGGGAAAUUCGUUGCCCAGAUAUUCAGACAAUGGGGUAAACGCGAUAGUCGAAAAUGGAGGGAGAAGAACUAAGAUGGACGUAUCAGAGGUAAAGACUCCGUUCAGAUGGGUUUGGAAGAAAAUAGUGGAAAAAGGCUUACUUAUACAAGAUUUAAGGGAGAAGCCUGAAUGAGCAAAGUACUACUGUGAAUUCCACGAGGAGGAAGGGCAUGAGAUCCAAAAGUGUAAUGAAUUUAGGGCCCUGGUACAGAGAUUGAUAGAAAAUAAAGAGAUUGAAUUCUUUGAGUAUACUGAGGUCCCGAAGGGAGAAGAUGUGUACACGUCAGAGCAAGGGCCAACCAACAAAGUCCAUGAGGUCAGUCACCCGGUCGUAAUUAUAUCCCGACCAAGAGCCAAUGAAGUCGGAGUACCAAUUGCGCCAAAGGUCAUAAUCCAGAAGUCCGUCGCUUUCCCUUAUAAAGAUAGUAAGAGGGUUCCUUGGAAUUACGACUGCAACGUAACGAUCCCGGAAGGGGAGAACCCAACUGGCACUUCGGAGAAAGGUCAAGAUGAGGGUUUCUAUACACGCAGUGGAAGGCGUUAUACCCCAAACACAAAAGCAGAACCAGUUAAAGGAAAAUCUGUGGUCGUUAAACAAGAAAAAGAAAAGACAACCAGACCUGAAUCACCUAUCAAUGAGCCUAUAACUGAAAAGGAGGCUAAGGAAUUCUUAAAAUUCCUGAAGCACAGCGAGUAUAGCAUUGUAGAAUAAUUGCACAAUCAACCAGCUCGCAUAUCGGUACUAGCCUUGCUCUUGAGUUCAGAAACUCACCGAAGUGCAUUGAUGAAGGUUUUGAAUGAAACAUAUGUUGCAGAUGAUAUCUCUGUCAACAAGCUCGAUCAUCUGGUCAAUAACAUCAGCGUGAAUAAUUUUAUUUUCUUUAAUGAUGAUGAAAUACCAAUGGGAGGCAUGGGAUCUACAAAGGCCCUACACAUUACCACUCGCUGCAAGGGAUAUACAUUGCCAGGGGUAUUGAUUGAUAAUGGAUCAGCGUUGAAUGUCAUGCCCUUGUCCACGUUAAAUAGGUUGCCAGUGGAUAACUCUUACAUGAAGACAUGUCAAAACGUCGUGAGAGCAUUCGACGGUACGGAAAGAAAAGUGAUGGGAAGAAUUGAGAUACCUCUCUUGAUUGGCCUAAAUACAUACGAAGAGAACAUUUUGGUAAUGUACAUCAAGCCAUCAUACAAUUGCCUGUUGGGGAGGCCAUGGAUCCACUCAGCGGGAGUAGUACCGUCGUCAUUAAACCAAAAAUUGAAGUUGGUGACUGAGGGUAGAUUGGUAACGAUAAAGCAGAAGAAGAUAUCAUUGCAUCUGUUACUAGUGACGCACCGUACAUAGGUGUGGACAAUGAGGCAAUAGAAUGUUCCUUUCGAUCGCUAGAAUUCGUCAAUGCCACAUUCAUUGUCGAAGGAAACAAGAUCCCAAUACCCAAAAUAUCCAAAACUACGAGGAUGGGCCUGCGAUUGAAGGUCAGCAAAGGAGCCUUGCCAGGAAGAGGACUUGGAAGGUGCCUCCAAGGAAGGAGCGAGGUACCAAUGCUAAGAGAAAAACGAGACCGCUUUGGCUUAAUAUUUAAGCCAGACGCGAAGUAAAAGAAGAAAGAGCUAAAGAAAAGGCAAGAGAUGAGAAGAGCGCAUCUGUACGGUGAGGAGGUCAAGUGGGAACCAAUGACCUUUCCUCAUUUAUCCCGAACGUUUGUGUCUGGAGGAACUAUCCACCCAAAACAAGAGAUGACAUUGAAGAAAGUGGCGGAAGAAAUGCUAGAAAGUUUGAGCAUUAAUGCCAUAUCUGAAGAAAGAACCGAAGAAGGGAAUUUAUCUGGAAUUCGCCCUUAUAUAUCGGGAAGUGUUUUGAACAAUUGGACCGCGGAGGAGAUCCCUGUAACUUUUAGAAUUAACUCAGAGUAAUAUUCAAAACAAGCUUAUUGCUCUAAGCCUAGGGGCAAUAAGAAUCUUUUUAUGAAAUAGGCAUAUGUCCAAAUAUCGUUAUUUCAAUAAAAAUGCAUUUUUGCAUAUCAUCUUGAGUAAAUAUUCUUUUAUUCUUUCUACUUCAUUCAUAAUCAUACCAUACAAAUCAAAUAUUCUUAGAUUCUUUUGUUCAUUGGAUUUCUUUCUUCAUCCAUAACAGGUCUUCAGAUAUCAAUGAUAUGAGCAAUGUUCCUACUGACUCGGAGACUCUUUUCGAGCAAGAUUUGUGUAUGGAAGACACUGAGGAUUUUGAAGAUGACUGAAAUUGUAACCUAUCUCCUGAUUUGUUAAGAAUGGUAGAACAAGAGGAGAAACAAAUCCUACCUCACAAAGAGUUGGUAGAAAUUGUUAGCCUAGGAGAAGGAAAAGAUGUGAAGAUUGGAGCUAAUAUCAUUGCAGAAAUAAAGCAAGACCUCAUCGAGUUACUCUGGGAAUUCAAGGACGUCUUCGCAUGGUCAUAUCAAGACAUGCCCGGAUUGAAUACUAAUAUUGUGGUACAUCGACUCCCCAUAAAGGAAGAAUGUAGGCUAGUUCAACAAAAAUUUCAAAGGAUGAGACUCGAUGUUUUGUUGAAGAUAAAGAAAGAGGUCAAGAAGCAAUUCGAUGCUGGUUUCUUACAAUUGGUCAAGUACUCAUAAUGGGUAGCCAAUAUAGUCCUGGUUCCUAAGAAAGAUGGGAAGGUACGAAUGUGCAUGGACUAUCGAGAUUUGAAUAAAGCCAACCCAAAGGACAAUUUCCCAUUACCUCACAUUGAUACGCUAGUGGAUAACACGGCAGGUUACUCGCUUUUCUCAUUCAUUGACGGCUUCUCGGGGUACAACCAGAUAAAGAUGCAUCCUGAAGACAUGGAAAAAAUGACAUUCUUAACCAUGUGGGGGACGUUUUGUUAUAAGGUGAUGCCAUUUGGACUGAAAAACGCAGGAGCAACAUAUCAGAGAGCCAUGGUAACUUUGUUCCAUGAUAUGAUGCACAAGGAGAUCGAAGUCUACAUUGACGGCAUGAUUGCAAAAUCCAAAAUAGAGAAGGAGUAUGUGCAAGUCCUGAGGAAACUAUUCUUGAGGUUAAGAAAGUUCUAACUAAAACUCAAUCCUGCAAAGUGUACCUUCGGGGCCAGGUCAGAAAAAUUGUUGGGAUUUGUAGUCAGUGAGAGGGGAAUUGAGAUUGACCCAGAUAAAGUCAAGGCCAUACAAGAAUUACCCCUACCGCGCACUCAAAAAGAAGUUUGAGGUUUCCUAGGAAGAUUAAAUUACAUUGCUCGGUUUAUUUCACAACUAACGGAGAAAUGUGACCCAAUAUUCUGUCUCCUUAGGAAGCAUAAUCCAGGUGUUUGGGAUGAGGAAUGCCAGAAAACUUUCGAUAAGGUCAAACAUUAUUUGUCCAAUGCCCCAGUACUGAUGCCACCUUACCCGGAUAAAUUACUGAUACUGUACCUGGCAGUGUUUGGAAACUCCAUGGGAUGUGUGCUAGGCCAACAUGACGAGUCAGGAAGAAAAGAGAAAGCAAUACACUAUCUCAGUAAGAAAUUCACCGAAUGUGAGACAAGGUAUUCGUCGAUCGAGAAGUUGUGUUGUGCUUUGAUUUAGACAACCCGAAGACUGAGACAAUACAUGUUGUACCACACAACUUGGCUUAUCUCAAAACUAGACCAUUUGAAGUACAUGAUGGAGUCAAAUGCUUUGAACGGAAGAAUGACUCGUUAGCAAAUUUUGCUUUCUGAGUUUGACAUAGUCUACAUAAACCAAAAGGCUGUAAAAGGGAGUGUAAUAGCAGAUUUUCUGGCCAGUAGAGCUCUAGAAGAUUAUGAGCUGUUGAGUUUUGAUUUCUCGAAUGAGGAUCUAAUGUAUGUCGUGACCAUAGAAGAAGACUCUCAAGAAGGCUACCCCUGGAAACUGAAUUUUGACGGAGCUUCCAAUGCUGUGGGGAACGGAAUCGGGGCAGUCUUGGUAUCUCCAAACGGAGAUCAUUAUCCUUUCACCAGUAAAUUGGAUUUUGAUUGCACAAACAAUAUGGCCGAAUCCGAAGCAUUUAUCAUGGGAAUUCGUACUGUCAUAGAAUGCAAGAUUAGAGCGCUAGAGGUAUAUGGGGAUUCGGCAUUAGUGAUCUAUCAGCUUAAAGGUGAAUGGGAGACAAGAGACCCUAAGUUGAUCAAUUACCGAAGGCUGGUUCUUAAGUUAAUCAAGGAGUUUGACGAUAUCACUUUCUGCUACCUCCCACGAGAUGAAAACCAGAUGGCUGAUGCCUUGGCAACCUUAGCUUCUAUGAUCAAAUUGAAUAAACAAGAGGAUAUGAAGCCUAUCCAAAUGAGUAUUUAUGAGGCUCCGACUCAUUGCUGCAACAUCGAAGAAAAAGAAAAGAAAGAUGAUCAUCCUUGGUAUCAGGAUAUUUUACGAUAUGUGAAAAGCCGUGAAUACCCAGACCAAGUGACUGAGAAUGAUAAAAGGACAUUAAGAAGACUGGCUAGUGACUAUGUCUUAGAUGGAGAGAUCCUAUACAAAAGAAGGAAGGAUCAAGUACUCUUGAGAUGUGUAGACGCUGUCGAGGCUAAACAAAUCCUGGAAGAGGUUCAUGAGGGUGUCUGCGGAACACAUGCUAAUGGUUUCACCAUGGCCAUACAGAUCAUGAGAUUCGGAUAUUAUUGGUCCACUAUGGAAGGAGAUUGCAUCAACUAUGCCAAGAAGUGCCAUAAAUGCCAAAUCUAUGGAGAUCAAAUUCAUGUACCUCCUUCACCCCUUCAUGUCAUGACUUUUCCAUGGCCUUUCUCCAUGUGGGGCAUGGAUGUCAUUGGGCCGAUCUCACCGAAGGCAUCUAAUGGAUAUCGAUUUAUCUUUUUCGUCAUAGAUUAUUUCACCAAAUGGGUAGAGGCCACCUCCUACGCUAACGUCACAAAGUCAGCAGUCAGUAAGUUCUUAAAGAAAGAAAUCAUUUGUCGAUAUGGGAUGCCUGAGAGGAUCAUAUCAGACAAUGCACUAAACUUGAACAAUAGCACAAUAGCAGAGGUCUGUAGCCAAUUCAAGAUCAAACACCACAAUUCGUUACCAUAUCGCCUAAAGAUAAAUGGUGCAGUGGAAGCAGCCAAUAAGAACAUCAAAAAGAUCAUAGGAAAAAUGACUGAGACCUAUAAAAAUUGGCACGAGAAAUUACCAUUUGCCCUUUAUGCCUACCGGAUGUCAGUCAGAAACUUUACCGGGGCAACACCUUUUUCUUUAGUUUAUGGAAUGGAGGCGAUUCUGCCUAUUGAGGUCGAGAUUCCCUCUCUACGCGUGCUGUCAGAACCAAAAUUAGAUGAAACAGAAUGGAUCCAGUCUCAAUACGACCAGUUGAACUUGAUUGAAGAAAAGAGGCUAAAGGCCAUUCGCCAUGGUCAAAUGUAUCAAAAGAGAAUGAUGCGGGCUUAUAAUAAGAAGGUUCACCCUAGAGAAUUCCAUGAAGGAGACCUCGUAUUGAAAAAGAUCCUCCCCAUACAAAAGGACUUCAGAGGGAAAUAGAUGCCAAAUUGGGAAGGAACUUAUGUGGUAAAGAAGGCUUUUUCUGGAGAAGCUCUGAUUUUGACUGAGAUGGAUGGUAAAAGUCUACCUAAUCCCGUGAAUUCAGAUUCUGUCAAGACGUAUUUUACCUAAAAAAACGGAAAGGCCAAGGCGAAAACCCUUAAAAGAGCGCUUUGAGACCAAAGGGGUUUUGAAUUGAAAACCCAGAAAUGGGUAAUUCAAAUCGAAGAUGGGGCAUGCAGUAAUAUUGUCCUCUCUGGACUAACAAUAAGGAAUGAUGCUACAUUUUGAGGCAUCAACAAAGUACUCUUAGUCUCUCAAACACAUACCAAGUUCAAAGGGUCCUCGAGAGGAUUUGCACAACGAAACUCAUACUACGAUAUCUGGGGCACCUAUUCUUAUCUCAUUCAUUUUGUAAAAAUGUGUUAUCUUGAUUAAUUUAUUAGUUCUUAUUUUGUAUCUUAGCAAAUUUGCUAUUUGGAUUACCCUAUUCAUUCUGAGCUUUGCUCUCAAUAAUAUUUCAUCUUGUCUACCGCAAUAAUCUUUUUCAAGCGUUUUCCGUUAAAAUGAUGAUUAAUGGACUAAUAAUAUUCAAAAAAAAGUUCUGCGCAUUACUCCGAAAUGCUCCUAAAUGAUACAAGGACCUGAAACGGGACUAACUAGUUUGAAUUAUCCAAAUUCAAGGAUUGGAAACCUGAGGGAAAGAAUAGCCUAAAUUGUAAUUAUUCUUUGAUUUUUUUGCCAAAGAUACCAGUCGAAGAAAAAGGUAAAGUAAUACGGCAAUGAUAAAACCUCGAUGAACAACGAGUGAUAUCAAAUCAAGCAUUUAAAAAUGACAUUUUCGCAUUCAUGAAAAUAUCAUUCAUACACAUCUAGCUAAGAGCAUCUUAUUCAUUCUGAUCAUGACAUCUUAAUCAUUUGGCAUAAAUAGGCAUAUGGAAUCGAUUCUACAGAUCAUUUUCCAAGAGGAUGGUGUAGCAACAUCAGUGAAUUUGCAGAUCUUGUCUCCCUGAAGUUGCAGUGGAACAGAUCGAAGACUGCAAAUCUUGUCUUCCUGAAGUUGCAGUGAAGCAGAUUUAAGCCACCACCCUAUCUCCCUAAGUUGUAGUGGAGCAGGCUAAAUAUUGUAGAUCUUGUCUCCCUGAGGUUGCAAUGGAGCAUAUCGAAGAUAGCAAAUCUUAUCUCUCUGAAGUUGCAGUAGAGCAGAUUAAGGCUAAAUCCUAUACAUCUGAAGAUGCAGUGGGUCGGAUCAAAUCUACCAUGGCAAAUCUUAUCUCUCUGAAAUUGCAGUAGAGCAGAUUAAAGCCAUUAGCAUUAUCUCCUGAAGAUGCAGUGGAGUGGUUUGAAAUUACCAAGUCUUAUUUCCCUGAAGUUGCAGUGGAAUAGACUAAAGAUAACAAAUCUUAUCUCUCUGAAGUUGCAGUAGAGCAGAUUAAAGCUAUAAAUCCCAUACCUCUGAAGUUGCAGUAGGUCGGAUCAAGUUACCAUGGCAAAUCUUAUCUCCUUGAAGUUGCAGUGGAGUAGAUUGAAGUCGCAAACCUCAUCUCCCUAAAGAUGCAAUGGAACAGGUUGAAAUUAUCAAAUCUUAGCCCUUUGAAGUUCUAGCGGAGUAGAUCGAAGCUACAAGUCUCUUCUCCCUGAAAUUACAUUGAAGCAAAUCAUAGCGCCAGUCCCUAUACCCCUGAAGAUGCAGUGGGAUGGAACAAGGCUUUUAGAAUAAAAGAAGCAUCAAGAAGCCAAGGUUCAGUGAGACUAGGCAAAAUUGGCUCCUUUAAGGUCUUUGCUCCAUUCUCGUUACACGACAAUGAGCAAAAAGGGGCAGCUGUAGUAGCCAAUUUUGGCCUAAAAGAACCCAAACCAAAUAAACAAGAAAACAGUCCAACACAUGGCCCAAAAUUAAGACAACCUACCCAAACCUAAUUUACAUCAAACCCUAGCCCAAAUAAUAACCCACUUGCUUAAGAUUUUCAGCAGCAAACCCUUCCCCAAGAUGCAGCCGCCGCAUGCUUUCAGCCAUCGCCGCUCGGGGCGCCAACCACCGACCUUCCACACGUCACGUCACCUGCAAAGAGAGAUCCACACGGAAAGUAAUAGGAAACAACAAAGAAAACGACAAGAAAUGGCAGAAAACAAAAAAAAUAUGGACAAAAACGGAUCUUAUAUCCGGUUAUAAAGCUUCAAACUUUAGCCUUGUAUUGUUUUUUACGCGCAUUAAGCAAUAAAAACAGCGAAAGAACCAAAAAGGUUGAUUUUUUUUAUCUCUAUUUUCGUUUUAAAUUCUGAGUUCAUUUACUCUGUUUUCUUUUUUUUUAAUUAUUUUUAUAUGAAAAUAGACAAAAGUAAAAAAGGAGGAAAGGGAACUUACCGAUCUACUCCGUGGUUGCGCCAUCAGGACCUCCUCCUCUGUCGCCGGAUUCGAGCCCAAAAGGGGAAGAGGGGUCUUCUCUUCUCGAUCCUUUCGGGGCUAAAAGGGGAGGUCUUCGUGCGCGUUUAAAUAGGGGCUAAAGAGCCCAUUGUCGCACCUCCGACCACCGCUUAUGGCGGCCAGUGCGGAGGUGAAUCGCUACCUCGGUGACUGGAGGAAAAGGAGAAGGGAGAGAGAGCAAGAAGGCUCUCUGCCUUUUUUUUUAAAGAAAAUAAAGUUAAAAAAAAGUAAAUAAAAAAUUUUGGCUUUAAUAGCCAUGCAAAACACUACCGUUUUGCACACACACACAUACCCUCCCCACGCCCCAAAACGGCGCCGUUUAGGGGGGGAACCCGUGUGUUUUGGACCUAUGGGCUAUUUGCGCGAUCGGUCCCUCCAGGUUUCAGCGCGAUUUAAAUGCACCCGUCGCUUCAUUUUUUUACCCGAAUUUUCCCUUUAAUUUUAUUUAGAUUUUGAUUUAGUCCUUUUAAAUGCUUGCAUCUAUUUUUUAUUCGAAUUUGGACCCUAAAUUUUCGUUUUUAUUUGUAAUUUUCCCCUUUUUUCCUAUAAAUCUGGACUUUUUAUUUAUUUAUUCAUGUUAAACUGUUUUUAUUUAUCUUAAAUUUCGUAUAUUAUAUUGUUUUAAAUUGCUUUAGAUAUAUUAUUUCAUGCACUGUACACUUUAAAUUGUUUUAUCCAUUGUUUAUUUUAAAUCUAUUAUAUGUAUUAUCCAUUUUAAAUUGUUUUAUUAUGUAUUUUAAAUUUUUUUUUGUAUGUUAUUACUUCCAAAUUCUUAUAUGUGUUAUCUGUUUUUAUAUAUACCCUUUCUAAAUGUUUUGUAUAUUACUUAUUUUAGAUUUAUUACUACAUAAUAUUCAUUUUAAACUUAUUUCUAUUAUUUAUCUUAAAUUAUCUUACAUAUCAUUUACUUUAAACUUUUUACACAGAUCAUUUUGAAUUAUUAUAUACAUGUUCAUCACUUCACAUUGUUAUUUAUUAGUUUAUUUUAAAAUCCUUUUUUAUAUAUUAUUUUUGAACAGCUUAUUAUUUUAAGUUUAUACAAUGUUUAUUCUUAAACUUCCUUUUGUAUAGAUCAUUUAUUUUCAAAUUACCAUAUGUUUUUAUCUUAAACUCUUUAUACCUUAUUAUAUAUAUAUAUUUAGGUUAAGUUGUUUUUUUUUAAUAUACUAUGCAUAUUAUUUGUUUUAAAUUUAUUUUUAUGUAUUAUUUAUUUUAGACUUUUCAUUAAUGAUUUUAAAUUAUUUUUUAUCAUUUACUUUAAGUUGCUUUUCUAGUAUUUAUUUUAAACCCUUUACAUAUAUAUUUUAUAUUUAAGAUUAUUUUAUUAUUUGAUUUAAUUUGUUUUGUACUAUUACUUCAUUUCUAUAUUUAUUAAGCUUAAUGUUAAAUAAUGUAUGUUGUGAAAUUAUUGUUAUUGCAUGUAUGUUAAUUUGCUUACUCGUAUUCAUAUUAUUGCCAUGAGCUUGUAGAAUACUUUAUGCAUGAAUCAUUGUUCUUUGUCGCACUAUACUUCAUUUCAUAUCAUUGCCUCAAAUUAGACCCCAAUACAUUUAUCCAACAAAUCGCUUUAUUCUAACCUAAAUAACUAAUACACGUCGUUUAAAUAUUGUAUUCGCUACUAUUCAAAAACAAAAUUUUCCAAAUAAGGCAAUGUUUUGCAUUUUGGAACAUCGAGGAAUUGUGCCCUAACUUACGGGGUUUCGAUUUUCUCGUUGUUUCUAAAUAGUCAAAUAUCCUUUUCAAGUUUUAAAACACAUGAAAUUCUUAUUUAAAUUAAAAGACGACCUUGCGCUCGGGAAUUCAUGGUAUUGUGUCCUAACUUACGGGAUGUGAUACUCCGAUAUCUCGGGAUAAGGAAAUCUUUAAGCAAUUGUUUUGAGCUAAUUCAAGAAUUUUAAAAUCGAUGUUAAUAAAAAAGGAUCGUAUUUCAAAUCCAUUCCCGAUUUUCAAUUUUCAACAUUAAGACACUAACUAAUCAAUUCGGUACCAAUUUUUGGGCGUGUCGAGGGUGUUAAUCCUUCCUCACACGUAACCGACUCCCGAACUUAUUCUCUUGAAUUUCGUGGACCAAAAUGCCAUUUUAGUAAACUAAAAUUGUUUUAUUAAAACAAAGGUGAUCCGAUCACACCAAAUAAAAAUCGGUAGCGACUCCUGUUUUGAUUUUCGUCUUUAAACAAAGUCGAUUUCCGUUUUCAAAAAAUAAUUUCGACAAAUAUGAUAGAAGAAAAGCAAAUUAUUUUAUUACCAUAACAAGUAAAGAUCAUUACAAUAUAUCGAUUAUAUUACUACUGCCAUAAUAAGGAAUGCAACCUCCAUAACAGGUAAAGUCACAACAAAUUACCAUGCACGGCUGCUUGUGUCUCAAGUAAAGUCUUAAAACUAUUCCCCGAAUCAGUGUGUGACCAAUGGAUUUAAUUAAAUAUUAAAAUCUCAGCAUCCAAUCCCAAUAUACUUUCCCUAUUAAAAUAUG